CCCGCAGUGGAAGCUCUUAUGUCAUUGGCUGCUGCUGCUUCCGAGUACACCAAUCGUAAACUCUUUCCCAAGUAUGAAAUUGAAAGUGGAGAACAGUAGGCAGCCAAUGGGAAUGAUCACAAAUUCAGCAGCCAAUCCGCCUACGGCGUUUUGUGUCUUUGUCCAACGGGAAAGUGUGUUUCAUAUGGAGGGGCGUUACCCAAUCGCCAAUGGGCGGGCUCCGGCGGAACGGAGGAGCCAAUGAGCGCGAGAUGUUGAGUGACAGCUGUCCAAUAGAGACCCUCAGUGCUAGUACGGCUUGCAGCUUAAGCGCCUCCGCGGUCUGAGGAAUGUCAACUAUUCAACAUGGAGGCGGAGGUCGAUAAGCUGGAGCUGAUGUUCCAGAAAGCUGAUUCUGAUUUGGAUUACAUUCAAUAUAGGCUGGAAUAUGAAAUCAAGACCAAUCACCCAGAUUCAGCAGGAGAGAAAAAUGCAGUUGCAAUUUUAAAGGAAUUAUCAGCAAUAAAGUCUCGGUAUCAAGCUUUGUGUGCACGCUUUAAGCCACUUUCUAUUGAACAAAAAGAGAACAAGAGCCGCAUUUGUGCUACUCUGAGCAAGACAAUGACCACGAUACAAGAACUACAAAAACAGACAGAUCUGGAGCUAACUCAACUGACUGAAGAAGAGAAAGCGGUGACAGAGCAGUUAAAAUCUCACAUGCCGGACCUAUAAAGACAUGGAAUUUUAAAAAGGAACUCUAAUGGAGGAAAGAUCAAUUCCAAAGAGAUUCAGCAUGAUGUCGUAUUGAUGUCAUUAAUCCAUCAAGGAGUUGGAAGCUGAUAAGAAGAUUGAGAUUUUCCUUGAUCAUGAUGCUUUUAAUAUGAGAGGAAAUUGUAAGAAGGGUAUAUAUCAUAUAACUAAAAGCCAAGAAGGAUGAAAUGAAAAUAAAGAAAUUUAAAUACAAGAUAAUCUUGUGGUUUCAUUAAUGAUAUCCCUUAGCACUGUUUUUCAUCUGUCUUCUUUUUGUGUAGUUGGGAUAAUUUUAGAAGUUUUGGGAUUUUGUAAAAGAAUAUUUAUGUACAUGUCAAUCAGUAUGUGAAUAGACCAAAUACUUGUAUACUAUAAUUAUUUAGUGAAGCUCUGCCUGUUUCUGCCUAGUCAUUAAAGGCCAUGAUGAAAGGCUAAAGGCAUGCACCAUCACACUAGUGCGCCCCCCCCCCCCCCGCAAAUUUUUUUUUUGGGGGGGGGGGUUUCGAGACAGGGUUUCUCUGUGUAUGUUUGGAGCCUAUCCUGGCACUCACUCUGUAG
Molecule: long non-coding RNA, 1287 nt
Filed under: Cricetulus griseus (Chinese hamster)
Lineage: Eukaryota; Metazoa; Chordata; Mammalia; Rodentia; Cricetidae
Description: lncRNA (ENSCGRG00000025106.1)
Source: RNAcentral